This 253-nucleotide ribosomal RNA is filed under the name uncultured bacterium. RNAcentral describes it as "partial 16S ribosomal RNA". It matches the Rfam family "Bacterial small subunit ribosomal RNA", at positions 524 to 776 of the family's 1533-position model. The record is from RNAcentral.
UACAGAGGUCCCAAGCGUUGUUCGGAUUUACUGGGCGUAAAGGGUGCGUAGGCGGUCGGGUAAGUCUGGUGUGAAAGCUCAGAGCCUAACUCUGAAAUGGCACUGGAUACUAUCCGGCUAGAGGUUGGGAAGGGAGACUGGAAUUCUCGGUGUAGCAGUGAAAUGCGUAGAUAUCGAGAGGAACACCAGUGGCGAAGGCGAGUCUCUGGACCAAUCCUGACGCUGAGGCACGAAAGCCAGGGGAGCAAACGGG